RNAcentral lists this long non-coding RNA (1274 nucleotides) under Anser brachyrhynchus (Pink-footed goose). RNAcentral describes it as "lncRNA (ENSABRG00000003632.1)". The record is from RNAcentral. Lineage: Eukaryota; Metazoa; Chordata; Aves; Anseriformes; Anatidae.
UGAGUUUUCUGGUGUCACAUUAUUGCUUUGCGUGUCAGAGUAUGUACAGGAAGAUCUAGCGUGUGUCUACAUUGCAGUCAUGGAGUGAAGCUUUAAAUAGAAGAUAGCUUUACACUAACUGUACAAAAUACUAUGGCAGGUACUCUGCACAGCUGGGGGCUGUGCUGCUGCAGGCCUCUGUGCCCGACAUGGGAGAUCCGCUUCAGUCGACAGGAUGUGCUACCUCACCUGCACUUCUUGCAGGUCUGGCUCUGCUGCUGUGCAGGCAGCAGGCUGGGUAUCGGAGGAUCUGACUGAUGAUCAAGCUGUGAUUCAGACCUCCAAGCCAGAGAAAACACACAAGAGUGCUGUAGAAGGUCUUUCUCUGCUAAGGGGGAUUUUUGGACCAGUGAAUGCACUUCUUUUUCCUGUUUCUUUUCUUUUUCUUAUUAGUAAAGCAACAGUCAAAAAGCCUAUGUCUGUAUACUUUUGCCAAACACACAAAUGUUUGGCCAGUUUGCGACUGGAUAACAUCCUGGGCUUGUGUCUUAGCUCCCAGCUUGGUGAUAAUAUCCUCCCUUAGCAAAGGAUUUUACAAGCAGAUGCACAUAUCAAAAUCAGUUCACCAACAUAACUGCAGUUUGAAUCCCCAUUUGCCAAAACCACAAUCCUGGGAAUGCAUUUUAAGGAUACAGCUUCUGUGAAAUUAUUUAUGCAAGGAAAUACUUUAUUUUUGCAUCAGGACCAAAAUAAGAUUUUUUUCAUAGGCCAGAAAUCCUUUGAAGUACUUUUUUCCCCCUUUAAUUCUCAUUAGUUUAAUUAAUUGUUGCUCUGUUUUGAAAUUAAAGAGAACAAAUUGUUCUCCUGGUACUGAAGGGGCACAAGAAAAUUAUUGCAAACACUGUGUUUUUACCUGAGUUUUUAUUGUAUUUCUCCUGAAUGGAAACCCAGGAAAAAGGGAGUUAAAUUGUUCAUGGAAAAAAAAGGUAUUAUAUUAAAGCCAGAAAUAUAUUCAUGUGGUGAUUUCUUGUGGAUGCAUAUAGCAUUGCAAUGUUCUGAUAAUGGAAACAAUUUGUUUUAGAAACAGUAUAAAGGUUGCUAAUUUCCAAAUAAUGAGAAAUGGUCUGCUUGACAGGUUUUUCUUUAUGGUAUUUAUACCGCAAGCAUAGUAGCAAAUACCAGGAGCAGAGGCAAAGCCAAGCAGGCUUUCCAACAGCUGCUGCGACCCCUGCUGUAUUGCUGCCAAAGCUGGUGUGACGGGACAAGGAGAAGGACACAGGCUUUUAAGUGCCCCA